ACCGCUCUGCCGAUCUCUCGGCGUGGAGGAAACGUAAACAAAGGAGCUGUGCGCACCUGCUUUAAACAGAAGGCAGAAAACAAUGAGCCAGCCAUCAUCGUGCAGGAAGCCGACGCCAAAUGGGCUGCUGCUGAAUCGGUCAGGCAUGCACCAGCUAGGACCAAGAAAAUGGAGCAGUGUGCCUCUUCUCAGGAGUGACUGAGGGGCUG
RNAcentral lists this long non-coding RNA (209 nucleotides) under Ixodes scapularis (black-legged tick). Its description in RNAcentral is "uncharacterized LOC121835267". The record is from RNAcentral. Lineage: Eukaryota; Metazoa; Arthropoda; Arachnida; Ixodida; Ixodidae.